Molecule: non-coding RNA, 1955 nt
Organism: Rattus norvegicus (Norway rat)
Lineage: Eukaryota; Metazoa; Chordata; Mammalia; Rodentia; Muridae
Source: RefSeq, a predicted model, not a curated record
UAUCUGAAUAACAGUAAAUCAAAAAAAAUUCAUGUUAGAAUAAAAAUCAAUUAUAGAAAAAGUGACUACUAUUCCAGAUCAAACUUUUGUCUAUUAGGUUACUGAAUUUUUUUCCCUUUGAGGCAAAAAAAAAUCUAAUUUUAGAGACUCUAAUGCUAGUUUUGAUAUUCAUAGAAAUGAUUGAUUCAUUUCACAAAUACAUAUGGAACAUUUUUCGGUGUAUUCAGUGGCAAAAUUUCUGCAGGAACAAAGGCAGCACAAAGCAUCCCUCUUCCUGGCUAUUAUUACAUUUCAGAGAAAGGGAUAACCACAGGGCAAUAAGGAGCAGUCUCAUUUUGGAUGAAGUGAUGGGGUUAGCAUUAAGAAGGUAAUGAGAUAAGAAUGAAUGGACGUGCUGUGAGGCAAAAGGGGGCUGUCUUUCCAAGGAGCUAACAUAAUGUAGGCACAGGACCCAAGGAGGAGACAUUGUUCCUCCAGAGUUUUGGGGGAGGGGUGAUUAUUUGAGGCAGAGGGAAGAAGAGAGGAGAAGUUUGGAGAAGUUAUCAAGGAAGAUCAAAUGGCUGCUAUGGCUGCAGCCGAGGCUGGGAAUGGGUGGAGCGGUGAAAGCAGUAAGAACGCAGGUGAGGGCUGAUGUAACCUAACUUUCCAUUUGCUGUUUCAUUUGGGUUUGGGUUUUUUUUUUUUUUUUUAGUGAUUCCGUGUCUACUUUCAUGUCUUGGAAGACUUUCAUCAUUUCAUUCAACUAUUUGUGUGUCCAGAGUUUGCCAGAGCACUGACUCCUGUUCUUUUAAGGCCUUCGAACACAUUCAAGUUGAAGAAUGAUCAUUAAGACAAUAAUCAAGGCACCGGGAGAGUCACAUGAGUUGGAUGGGUUGAAAAGUGACUGACAGCCCAGGAAACAACAUGAGAUGAGCUUGGAACAUCCUGUACCUUAAAAGAAGGAGCCACCCAAAAGACGACAAGGGCGUGGUAACAGGACACAGACUCCACUUGAAUGGCUCCUCACUGGUUAAAUUGAAGAUAAUUUCAGAAAAACAACCAUUAACUAAUUAUGGCAAUGGCUUGUAGCCCACUGAAUACAAUGAAGAAACACAAGCUCAGGAAGAUAUCUGAAUAAAAUGGCCUUGAAAGUUUGGGUAGGAAUGGGGAUUAAUCUUGAAUUGCCUCCUUACGGAAUAUGCCUUUAUUGUAAAGACAGAGUAAUUGGAUGAUGAGAGAUCUAGGAGGUGGCAUUACUUUGAUCCGAUGACCAAUGUUGACAUCAUCAAUAGUAGAACGCAGCAAAACUACAUUCUCAUCUGCUAGGACCCACGGCAAGAAAUGCAGAAUCAUUUCUGAAUUUUCCCAACAAAGAUGACUAACCUAUCUAGUCAAACGGAACUAUCAGAUACUCCCAAUUUGUAGGCCAUUCUACAGUGUUACCCCCACCUGUAACCUUUAAAAGUGUGAAGGCCAUAAGAAUCACGACAGAAGAACAGCUCCCCAUUAAAGAACACUAAGAAGAUGUAUCAGUCAAACAGAACAUUUGACCCCAAACUGGUCUUUGAUCACAAAGCCAGUAUUAUUGGGGAUGCUGGCAACGCUUGAGUGGGGCCUAAGGGAUUAAUGGUAGCAAUGGAUUCAUGUGAAUUUCCUGACUUGUUGGGGCUAUGCUUAAGAAUGCACUUGGCUCUAGAAAAUGUUCCCCAUGUUUCUCAAAGGGCAGGCUGGCCAGUGAUAUGCCUUCCAGAUUGUUUUCAUGAAGCAAAACUACUUUUAGGGCCCGAGAGAUGGCUCAUUAGAUAAAAAGGUACUUACCCCCCCAGCCCUGCAACAGGAGUUCUGUCCCCAGGAUCCAGGCAGUGGAAAGAGAAAACUGACUCUUGGUCCUACAGGCUUGGACACACCCAACUUAGCCCACACCCACAGGAAUGCAUAAAUUUUAAAUCUUUAAAAAAUAAACCUGCCACCCCCCA